This is a non-coding RNA of Rattus norvegicus (Norway rat), 608 nucleotides long. Lineage: Eukaryota; Metazoa; Chordata; Mammalia; Rodentia; Muridae. The record is from RefSeq and is a predicted model, not a curated record.
GGAACCCUAAAGCGUGCAGCAGUGCUUCAGUGGUGAGGCAGCGGACAUUGAAGCUGAUGGUGUUGAGGCUCGUAGAGGAACUAAUGCUUUCCGUGCCAUGGUACACACUGGAUGAGGCAGUCACCAGCAACAGAUGACGUCAUUCCCAAUCUCUGCAGCACCUGAUUGAAAUGUGUGUGUCCAGUACAGCUUUCCAGCAGUAAACGCCAUGCAUGAUUUGCUCAGCCCAUCUCAAUCAUCUGAACAAUGGGUGUGUGCUUCUGGUUCGAGGUCACAGCAAAGCUAUUGAUCAUGGCCAGUCCCAAACUCAGUGGGCUCCUUUCCGUCCUCCCAUCCUCAGUUGUCCUGGGGCACCAGACAAGGCAGAUUACACGAAGCCUCUGAGAAAACAGCACAGACAAUAAUUCCACCUCAAAACCUAAUCUGAUGCACGGACGGUCAGUCUGCUGAACGAACUUUCCCACCAUGAAUGCUUUCAUCUCGGUAAAAACAAGAAAUAGGGCCUCCAGGGAUGACUCAACGUUUAAGAGCACAGACUGCUCUUGUGGAAGACCUGGGUUCAGUUUCUAACAUCUACAUAGCAGUUGACAACCACCUGUAACUCCAGU